GACUGGAAGACAGAGUUUGGCGGUCCUUGAAUCACUGGAUAUGAGCUUGAUCAUCAAUAUCAUAAUAAAGCAAGUGUAAAAACAAUAUACUGUGUUGUUUUUUUCUGAGAAUUGAGAGAAAGCCUUGGGUGCAGGAAAGCAAGUGUGUGGAUGGGAUUGCUCCAGGCUGACCUGAGAAAGGUAGCAACAGAGGAAGUAAACAGAUGUUUCCGGAAGAAAAGAAUUUCCUUUGCAGUCAUUGUCCAUGUGAAUCUUUACAUUGUCCAUAGUAGAACAUGACCGUUUAUUGCUACUGUUAAAAUAGCUCUGUGAUUGUCCAAAGAGCAGUCAGGGUUCCCUGCCCUGUGGGAAGUCCAAGGUCCUUCCCCC
This is a long non-coding RNA of Microtus oregoni (creeping vole), 369 nucleotides long. RefSeq lists it as uncharacterized. The record is from RefSeq and is a predicted model, not a curated record. Lineage: Eukaryota; Metazoa; Chordata; Mammalia; Rodentia; Cricetidae. The transcript has 3 exons.